RNAcentral lists this ribosomal RNA (499 nucleotides) under Escherichia coli. Its description in RNAcentral is "partial 23S ribosomal RNA". It matches the Rfam family "Bacterial large subunit ribosomal RNA", at positions 363 to 867 of the family's 2925-position model. Lineage: Bacteria; Pseudomonadati; Pseudomonadota; Gammaproteobacteria; Enterobacterales; Enterobacteriaceae. The record is from RNAcentral.
GGUGACAGCCCCGUACACAAAAAUGCACAUGCUGUGAGCUCGAUGAGUAGGGCGGGACACGUGGUAUCCUGUCUGAAUAUGGGGGGACCAUCCUCCAAGGCUAAAUACUCCUGACUGACCGAUAGUGAACCAGUACCGUGAGGGAAAGGCGAAAAGAACCCCGGCGAGGGGAGUGAAAAAGAACCUGAAACCGUGUACGUACAAGCAGUGGGAGCACGCUUAGGCGUGUGACUGCGUACCUUUUGUAUAAUGGGUCAGCGACUUAUAUUCUGUAGCAAGGUUAACCGAAUAGGGGAGCCGAAGGGAAACCGAGUCUUAACUGGGCGUUAAGUUGCAGGGUAUAGACCCGAAACCCGGUGAUCUAGCCAUGGGCAGGUUGAAGGUUGGGUAACACUAACUGGAGGACCGAACCGACUAAUGUUGAAAAAUUAGCGGAUGACUUGUGGCUGGGGGUGAAAGGCCAAUCAAACCGGGAGAUAGCUGGUUCUCCCCGAAAGCU